UACAGAGGGUGCGAGCGUUAAUCGGAAUCACUGGGCUUAAAGGGUGCGUAGGCGGACGCGUAGGCGCUUUGUGAAAUCCCUCGGCUCAACCGAGGAAUUGCUUGGCGAACCACGUGUCUUGAGGUUGGUAGAGGUCGCUGGAACGAUAGGUGGAGCGGUGAAAUGCGUAGAUAUCUAUCGGAACGCCAAAGGUGAAGACAGGCGACUGGGCCAUACCUGACGCUGAGGCACGAAAGCGUGGGGAGCAAACGGG
This 253-nucleotide ribosomal RNA is filed under the name uncultured bacterium. Its description in RNAcentral is "partial 16S ribosomal RNA". It matches the Rfam family "Bacterial small subunit ribosomal RNA", at positions 524 to 776 of the family's 1533-position model. The record is from RNAcentral.